RNAcentral lists this ribosomal RNA (551 nucleotides) under Cladosporium sp. XJ8. Its description in RNAcentral is "eukaryotic LSU rRNA". The stretch from base 187 to 340 matches the Rfam family "5.8S ribosomal RNA". The record is from RNAcentral. Lineage: Eukaryota; Fungi; Ascomycota; Dothideomycetes; Cladosporiales; Cladosporiaceae.
UCCGUAGGUGAACCUGCGGAGGGAUCAUUACAAGUGACCCCGGUCUAACCACCGGGAUGUUCAUAACCCUUUGUUGUCCGACUCUGUUGCCUCCGGGGCGACCCUGCCUUCGGGCGGGGGCUCCGGGUGGACACUUCAAACUCUUGCGUAACUUUGCAGUCUGAGUAAACUUAAUCAAUAAAUUAAAACUUUUAACAACGGAUCUCUUGGUUCUGGCAUCGAUGAAGAACGCAGCGAAAUGCGAUAAGUAAUGUGAAUUGCAGAAUUCAGUGAAUCAUCGAAUCUUUGAACGCACAUUGCGCCCCCUGGUAUUCCGGGGGGCAUGCCUGUUCGAGCGUCAUUUCACAACUCAAGCCUCGCUUGGUAUUGGGCAUCGCGGUCCGCCGCGUGCCUCAAAUCGACCGGCUGGGUCUUCUGUCCCCUAAGCGUUGUGGAAACUAUUCGCUAAAGGGUGUUCAAGAGGCUACGCCGUAAAACAACCCCAUUUCUAAGGUUGACCUCGGAUCAGGUAGGGAUACCCGCUGAACUUAAGCAUAUCAAUAAGCGGAGGA